GACGAACGCUGGCGGCGUGCCUAAUACAUGCAAGUUGAGCGCUGAAGGUUGGUACUUGUACCAACUGGAUGAGCAGCGAACGGGUGAGUAACGCGUGGGGAAUCUGCCUUUGAGCGGGGGACAACAUUUGGAAACGAAUGCUAAUACCGCAUAAAAACUUUAAACACAAGUUUUAAGUUUGAAAGAUGCAAUUGCAUCACUCAAAGAUGAUCCCGCGUUGUAUUAGCUAGUUGGUCAGGUAAAGGCUCACCAAGGCGAUGAUACAUAGCCGACCUGAGAGGGUGAUCGGCCACAUUGGGACUGAGACACGGCCCAAACUCCUACGGGAGGCAGCAGUAGGGAAUCUUCGGCAAUGGACGAAAGUCUGACCGAGCAACGCCGCGUGAGUGAAGAAGGUUUUCGGAUCGUAAAACUCUGUUGGUAGAGAAGAACGUUGGUGAGAGUGGAAAGCUCAUCAAGUGACGGUAACUACCCAGAAAGGGACGGCUAACUACGUG
RNAcentral lists this ribosomal RNA (497 nucleotides) under uncultured bacterium. RNAcentral describes it as "partial 16S ribosomal RNA". It matches the Rfam family "Bacterial small subunit ribosomal RNA", at positions 28 to 507 of the family's 1533-position model. The record is from RNAcentral.